UUUCAGAGAUGAGAAUGUGCCUUCGGGAACCGUGAGACAGGUGCUGCAUGGCUGUCGUCAGCUCGUGUUGUGAAAUGUUGGGUUAAGUCCCGCAACGAGCGCAACCCUUAUCCUUUGUUGCCAGCGGUCCGGCCGGGAACUCAAAGGAGACUGCCAGUGAUAAACUGGAGGAAGGUGGGGAUGACGUCAAGUCAUCAUGGCCCUUACGACCAGGGCUACACACGUGCUACAAUGGCGCAUACAAAGAGAAGCGACCUCGCGAGAGCAAGCGGACCUCAUAAAGUGCGUCGUAGUCCGGAUUGGAGUCUGCAACUC
RNAcentral lists this ribosomal RNA (315 nucleotides) under Escherichia coli. Its description in RNAcentral is "bacterial SSU rRNA". It matches the Rfam family "Bacterial small subunit ribosomal RNA", at positions 998 to 1313 of the family's 1533-position model. The record is from RNAcentral. Lineage: Bacteria; Pseudomonadati; Pseudomonadota; Gammaproteobacteria; Enterobacterales; Enterobacteriaceae.